UUUAACUGUAUUCUUUCCCUUUCAUAUGCCCUACAGUUAAUCAGCACAUGCUCUACAAUUUCUGGAAAUAACAA
Long non-coding RNA from Sinocyclocheilus anshuiensis, 74 nucleotides. RefSeq lists it as uncharacterized. NCBI's taxonomy places the organism in Eukaryota, Metazoa, Chordata, Actinopteri, Cypriniformes, Cyprinidae. The transcript has 3 exons. The record is from RefSeq and is a predicted model, not a curated record.